Molecule: non-coding RNA, 293 nt
Organism: Camelina sativa (false flax)
Lineage: Eukaryota; Viridiplantae; Streptophyta; Magnoliopsida; Brassicales; Brassicaceae
Source: RefSeq, a predicted model, not a curated record
AAAGGGAAAAACCCCAUUUCUUUAGGGUUUAUUCGAGCUGUCCGUGACUUACGCGAUUUCAUAGAGGAGCUGUUUUGAAACAUCUCCAGUUAACGGUUUGAACAACAACAACAACAACAACUAAAAAAUGAGUCAAAUCAAUCUACCAUUUGAAGUUGGUCAUACUGUAGAGUUAAGAUCUUUUGAAUCGGGGUAUCGUGGAGCUUGGUUUCGAUGCAAGCAUUCUGAAGAUAUUCCAUAAAAGGACAGCACUAUGCUAUGAUGUGGAGUAUCUUGAUUAUCCCGGAGAGAGU